Homo sapiens (human) is the source of this 4923-nucleotide long non-coding RNA. RefSeq lists it as uncharacterized. Lineage: Eukaryota; Metazoa; Chordata; Mammalia; Primates; Hominidae. The record is from RefSeq and is a predicted model, not a curated record. The transcript has 2 exons.
AUCCACCCGCCUUGGCCUCCCAAAAUGCUGGGAUUACAGGCGUGAGCCACUGCACCUGGCCCACUUUUGGAAUUCUUAAAAACAGGCAGUUUUAGUUUCACAGCAAAUUGAGCAGCAAGUACAGAGAUUACCCUUAUAUCUUCUGCCUCGACACAUGCACAACCUCCACCACUAUCAACAUUCCCCACCAGAGCGGUACCUUUGUUACAAGUGAUGCACCUGCAUUCACCUCAUUAUCACUCAGAGUCCGUAGUUUACCGUAGGGUUUGCCCUUUGCGUUGUACAUUCUAUGUGUUUGGACAAAUUUAUAAUGACAUGUAUCUACCAUUACAGUAUCAUAUUGUAUCAUUACAGUUUAAUGCCACGUAUCCACCAUUUUAGUAUAUGUCAUUGCAGUAUAAUUGUAUGUAUCCACCGUUACAGUAUUGUACAAAUACAGUAUCAUGUUGUAUCAUUAUAGUAUAUGACAAGUAUCCACCAUUAUAGUAUCAUAUUCAUCAUUAUUGUUUCAGUGUCCUAAAAUUUUUCUGUGCUUGACCUACUCAUGCCAUCCUCACUCUUAACUCUGGGCAACCAGUGUUUUUACUGCCUCCAUUGUUUUCCAUUUUUCAGAAUGUCACAUAGUUAGAAUAAUACAGUAUGUAGCCUUUUCAUAUUGACAUCUUUCACUUAGUAGUAUGUGUUUAAGUUCCCUCUGUUUCUUUUCAUGGCUUGAUAGCUGAUUUUUUAAAAAGCAUUGAAUAAUAAUCCACUGUCUGGAUGUACUGCAGUUUAUCCAUUUACCUACUGAAGUACAUCUUGGUUUCUUCCAAGUUUUGGCAGUUACGAAUAAUGCUGUUAUAAACAUCUGCAGGUUUUGUAUGGUGAUUUAAAAAAUUAAACUUACGAUUUUGAGAUAAUUAUAGGUAUAUUUAUAGUUGUAAGGAAUAAUACAGACAGAUCUUGUGUACCAUUUACCUGGUCUCCCCUAAUGGUAAUAGCUUGAAAAACUAUAGUACAAUAUCACAACCAAGAUACUGACAUUGAUACAGUCAAGACACAAAACAUUUCAAUCAUGAUAAGGAUUCCUGUUUUUUCUGUGGUGUAUGGCUGAAGUAGCAUGCUUAUUGUCUGUAAGUUUUCUGUCUCGCUAGGCUGUCUCUUUGCUGGUUCAUCUCUCUCUGCUGAAGAGAACAGUUUUGUUGUUGUUGUUGUUUUGUCUGCAUCCACUGGUAUUUCUGGCUUGCUGGCUUUUUUUUUUUUUUUCUCCCAUUCUGAGGUCUAUGAGGCAUAAAGAAAAUCCAAGAAACUCACUAUCAUGUCCCUUCUUGGGUCCUGAGGUUCAUAGAUAGUCUUCAUUCCUCUCUACAUAUUCCAGAGUCUUAUGUUUCUUCUGUAUAAAAUGGCCAUGGUUUUUAUUUAUACUUAGCAGGAGGAAUAGGGAAACAUAAGUCUAUCCAUCUUCCUGGAAGUAGAAGAGUUUAUGUAAAAUUGGUAUUAUUUAAUCCUUAAAUGUUGUAGAAUUUACCAAGGAUACUUUGUGGAUCAGGGGUUUUCUUUGUGGGAAAUUUUAAGUCAUGAAUUCAAUUUUUUAAACACAUAUGGGCUAUUUAGGUUAUACAUUUUACUUGGGUGAGCUUUGAUGGAGUCUCAUAGGGAACUGGUUCACUUCAUUUAAGUAGUUGAAUUUAAUUGCAGAAAAUUAUUCAUAUUCUUAUAAUCCUUUUAAUGUCUAUAGGAUUUAUGAUGAUAUCUCCCCUUCCAUCCUGAUUUUUUCAAGUUUUUGUUUUUUCUUUUUUCUUAUAAAUUCUGGUAAAUGUUUAUUAAUUUUAUUCAUUUUUAAAAAGAACCAGCUUUUGGUUUCAUAAAGUUUUAUAAUUUUUUUGUUUUCACUUUCAUUAAUUCUACUCUUUAUUAUUUCCUUCAUUUUGUUUACUUUGGGUUUGUUUUGCCAUUUUUUUCCUAGUUUCUUAAGGUGCAGCUUAGAUAAUUGAUUUGGGAACUUUUUUCAUUGCUGAUAUUCGCAUCUCAUGCUAUACAUUUCCCUCUAAGUUCUGCUUUAGCUAAUUGUUACCAAUUUUAUAUAUUUUUAUUUUUAUUUUAUUCAAUAUAGUUAGAAUUAUUUAGAAAUAUGCUAUUUAAUUUCCAAAUACUUGUGGGUUUUCUGAUAUCUUUCUGUUAUUGAUUUUUAGUUCAAUUAUGCUAUAGUCAGUUAAUAUACUGUGUAUGAUUUUAAUCCUCUCAUAUUGCUUUAUGACAUAAAAUAUAGUUGAUUUUGGUGAGUGUUCUGUGUACUCUUGAAAAGUAUGUGUAUUCUGACAUUGUUGGAGUGUCUGUAAAAUUGGUUAAGUUGGUUGAUAAUUUUGCCAAGUCUUUUUUAUCCUAAUUAGUUUUCUGUCUACUUGUUCUACUAAAUAUUGAGAGAGGAGUUUUGAAACCAACUAUAAUUAUGGAUUUGUUUAUUUCUUCUUUUGAUUCUAUCAUUUUUUUGCUUUAUGUAUUUUGACGCUUUGUUAUGAGGUGCCUAUACACUUAGGAUUGUUAUAUCCUCUUGAAAAAUUGACUUAUUAUAUAAUACUCCUCUUCAUCCAUGGUAAUAUUGCUUAUUUAAAAAUAUAGUUAGUUUGAUUUUUAUAUAGCCUCUACAACUUUCUUUUGAUUAGUGUUUUUAUAUUAUAUUUUUUCUCAUCUUUUUCUUCUAACCUGUGUUUAGCUGGAUACGUAGUUUUUUUGUCCUUUGUUUUGGUAAUCAGCUGUGCUGAAAGAGUUAAUGGGCAAGCUUGAGACUGCUAUCCUUAGAAAUGCCUGCUAGCAAGGUUGGCCUGUGGCUGGCAUCUAGAAACUUAGCUCCUCGUUAACGGUUAAUAGAAAAGGGUGGUUGACCAUAUCCAGACUGUGCAAACAAUUUGGUUUACAAUGAAUACCUACUUCCCAUUUGGAAGCAUGGAAUUUUGGAUGUGCUAGAAAGAGGGUGCCUAUGUGACCAGCUCCUAAUAAAAUCCUUGGGUGCUGGGGUCUCUAAUGGAAUUCCCUGGGCAGAAAUGUUACACAAAUGUUACUCCAUUUCCAGUGCUGGAGAGAGGAUGCACUCUAUGUGAUCCUUCAUGAGAGGGAGGCAGCAUAUGGAAACCUGUACAUGGGUUUCUCCUGACUCCACCUAUGUCUUUUCCCUUAUGAUCUGGCUAUGUGUGUAUUCUUACUACAGCACCAUAACAAAUUUUAGCCAUAUGUAUUAAUACAAUCAUAUGCUGAAACUCAUGAGUCCUUCUAGCAAAUCUCCAAAUGUAGGAGUGGUCUGGAGACAGGAUUCCUGACAUAACAGCAUAUAGGUAGGUCUUGCUUUUUAAAAAUUGGAUCUGGCAGUUCUAAACAGUACUCUGGGCACUUAAGCCGUUUAUAUUUAAUGUAGUUACCAAUACAGUAACUACUAUAAUUGUAGAUUAUUUAUUUAUUUUUUGGCUGCUCUAGGGCAAGAAUUGACAAACUUUUUUUUUUUUCCUGUAAAGUGUCAAAUAGUAAAUAAAUAUUACAGGCUUUGUGGGCCAUAUGAUCUCUGCUGACACUACUCAAUUCUGCUAUUGUAGCACAAAAAUAGCCAUAGACAAUGUAUAUAUGAAUGACUGUGGCUGUGUUCCAAUGUUUACUUGCCAAAACAGGUUGUGGGCUGGAUUUGGCCUGUUGGCUGACAGUUUGCUGAAUGCUGCUGUAGGAUUUACAAUACAUGUCUCUAACUCAUCACACCCUAACUUCAAAAUUAUACCACUCCACAUAUGCUGUAAGAAUCAUAUACAAUAUGCUUCUAUUUCUCUCAUUUUUCAUGCUGUUGUUGGCAUGUAUUUUGGUUUUACAUAUGCUUAAAGCCCACAGUAAAUUUUUAUUAUUUUUGUUUUAAACAGUCUAUUAUUUUUAAAAAAAGAUUUUGGAUGAGUAAAAAUGUCUUUCAUAUUACUCACAUAUUUACCAUCUGUGGAGACCAUUAUUUCUUUGUUUAGAUCCAAAUUUCCAUAUAUCAUUUUCUUUCUUUCUAAGAAAUUUCUUUCUCUCUCUUUUUUUUUUUUUUUUUUUAAGACGAAGUCUUGCCGUGUUGCCCAGGCUGGAGUGCAGUGGUGUGAUCUCGGCUCACCACAACCUCCGCCUCCUGGGUUCUAAGAAAUUUCUUUAACAUUUCUUGUCCCACAGGCUUGUUGGCUAUGAAUUAUUUCAGUUGUCUGAAAACAUCUUUACUUAGUUUUCUUUUUUGAAAGCUAUUUUUUCCUGGGCAAAGAAUUCUAAGUUUACAGUUUUUUUCUUUUAGUACUUUAAUGAUAGUUCUCCACUUUCUUCUGGCUUGCACAGCUUCUGACAAGAAGUCUGCCAUCAUUCUUUUCUUUGAUCCUUUAAAUAUAAUUUUUAUUUUUCUCCUCUUGCUGCUUUUAAAAUUUUUCUUUAUCCCUGGUUUCAGCAGUUUUAUUAUGAGGUGUAUUUACAAUGUUUUCAUUAGGCUUAUUCUGCAUGGGGCUUGUUGAGCUUCUUGUACCUAUAGGUUUUGUGGUUUUCAGCAAAUUUGCAAAACUGUGGCCCUUAUUUCUUCAAAUAGUUUUUUUGGCCCCCCCCUUCCCCAUCAACAACCCCAUCCUUUUGGGACACCAAUUACAUGUAUGUUAGACCACUUGAUAUUAUCCUACAGGACCUAGUAAUUUGUUUACUUUUUGGGACACCAAUUACAUGUAUGUUAGACCACUUGAUAUUAUCCUACAGGACCUAGUAAUUUGUUUACUUUUUUUGGUUUUUUCAUUAUUCUAGAUGUUUUUAUUGCUGUGUAUUCAUGGUUACUGAUCUUUUCUCCUGCAGUGCCUACUCAGCUGUGAAUCCUCUGAAGUUCAUUUUUUCAUAUCAAUAUUGUAUUUUUCAUCUCUAUAAAUUCCAUUUGCGUCUUUUAAUAAAUAUCUUACAUGUUCUACAUUA